GAAGCACUAGUGCAGGAAGAGAAGGCGAACAUAAGCAAGUCAGGAGGGAGACUAAUGUAUGCACGUAUGUAUAUGGUUACUUUCAGGACAAUCUGACAAGACUAAUGAUGGUCUGAAGCUGGAGGCUCAAGGGUGGUGACUGGGAUGCUGAAGCACAGAAAGAAAGGAGCAAGAGCAAAGCCAUGCGAAAUCAUCUACUUGCAAGGAAAUCUACAAUAUCCUGACCACCAAUAUGAACAGGAAUAGCAUACGCACACAGGAAACAUUUUCCUGCACUGUACUACGAAAUGCCACAACACAAGCGUGAUUCACUUGCUGAUCCAUGGUGCAAAAGAAAAAGCUCAAGAAGCGUGUAUUCUCAAUCAACAAUCAGGAAAUAAGGAUGGCUGCAGAUCCAUGACAUUUUUAAUAAGAUCUGCCCCUUGUCCUACUCUAUCCAAGAAGACUCAGUCUGCAGCACCGUGGAAGGAGUCAAACAUUUUGGAAGACAAAUGCUGGAACCAGAAAGGGAAAUGCUGAAGAAGCCACUUGUCCAAAUUAAGAGCUCCAAUCACUUUCUCAUCGGGGAACAGCUAAAGAGGAUCAUGGCAGGGCACCAACAUUUUUGCCUCCACACCUUUCUAAUCUGGGCCACUCAUGGCGAUGGGAUGAGGGGAAGCAGUAUGAGGAACAGCUGAGGUCACCUGGCUUGUUCAGCCUGGAGGACA
Long non-coding RNA from Pipra filicauda (Wire-tailed manakin), 707 nucleotides. RefSeq lists it as uncharacterized. The record is from RefSeq and is a predicted model, not a curated record. NCBI's taxonomy places the organism in Eukaryota, Metazoa, Chordata, Aves, Passeriformes, Pipridae. The transcript is spliced from 5 exons.